This 464-nucleotide long non-coding RNA is filed under the name Marmota monax (woodchuck). Lineage: Eukaryota; Metazoa; Chordata; Mammalia; Rodentia; Sciuridae. The record is from RNAcentral.
GUACUGUUGGACCUAUAUCAUCCAUAAAUGUAAUAUAUUUGAUAAUAACAACACAAAGAAAGGGGUGAGAAUGAAAUUACAAUGGGGUAAGGAAAUGACACUUAUUGUCACUUCAGUCCAUAGGAAGAAAUAAUCAUCAUUAGAAGUAGUAAAUCGGAAGACCAUAUAUACAUGAUAUGUAUUUAUAUUUAUAAAUCGGUGCUCUCCUUUCUUCUCUUAUAUUCUUUAAAAGACAUAGAUUAUGUAAAGCAAUAAUUAUUGCAGCAUGUUAUUGGGGCUGUGCUACAUGGAUAGUUGUGAUAUGCCUAAGAAUGACAGAAAACGGGGAGGGGAUGGAGGUACUUGAGUAAAUAAAGUCUCUAUAUCUUAUUGGAAUUAAGUCAGCACCUCCCUGAACUAUGCUCUGACGAUCUGGUAUGUAAGUUCCAGAGCCACUGCUUNGCCCCUACAAGGAUAAGCAGGCU